This is a long non-coding RNA of Pseudomyrmex gracilis, 778 nucleotides long. RefSeq lists it as uncharacterized. The transcript has 4 exons. NCBI's taxonomy places the organism in Eukaryota, Metazoa, Arthropoda, Insecta, Hymenoptera, Formicidae. The record is from RefSeq and is a predicted model, not a curated record.
CGGUGUUCUCUGCUAGUCGGCCAGAGUUCGUAACUCUGUGGUCGGCACUCGGCAGUCAGCAUUCGGCAGUCGGUAGUCGCUAGUCGCUCUUCAGAAGUCGCAUCACCUUGCCGAGUCGUUGUGCGCGUGUGGUAGUGAAGGAUGCGUUCUACGCCAUUGUUGGCUCAAGGCGCCUUUAGAUAUCAAUUUGGAUAUGUUUACAGCACAGAGUUGCAAGAUCGAGACGGCCAGUACCGAAAGCAUUAAAAUAGUGGAGGUCCAUCUUGCAGCUUGUAUCAUUGGCGAGCAAAUUUCAAUUUACUAGAUGCUGCCAAGAGCAAUACUGUCCGACGCACCAUGAAUCUGCGAGACUCUGUCCACUCGUCUCACCCACGCGUUAACACUUUCACUAUCUGUUCUACCGAACUCAGAAAAUAAUCUCGGCAGUGUCCCGGGCCGAUUCUCUCUCUCCGAGUUGGCGGCACUUCUCGCGGACUCUGUUACACCGUUACUCUCCGUCGGUGCCGAUCUAUUCUCAGCGGUCAGCUGCCAGACGAUGUCUGCCAUAAAUUGCCGCUGUUGCCGCUGCAGCAUUUGUUGGUGCAAAAAGGUUUGCUGCAUUUCGAGUUGAUCGCGCGAGAUGCGAUUUUCUGCAGCUGUACAAGCGCCUUCUUAAACGCGUCCGCGGUCAACAGUUCGGAACAGCUAGCCGCUCCGGUUACCGAGCGAGAAUCUCGACCUUUCCAUAGACUUGGAUAAUAAAUCUAGCGAGUCUUGUCGCUCCAAGUAAUUAAAUCAA